This 286-nucleotide unclassified non-coding RNA is filed under the name Hevea brasiliensis (rubber tree). The record is from RNAcentral. Lineage: Eukaryota; Viridiplantae; Streptophyta; Magnoliopsida; Malpighiales; Euphorbiaceae.
AUAACUUUUGGGAGUACGGAUUGCUUGAUGAAGCCAAAGCAAUCAUCCAAUUCCAUGGAGGAAAAAAAUCUAUCAAUUCUAGAUGUCUCCGUUGAAUAUGUGCUAGGGUACCAAGUAUAUAAACCACCAAUAAGGGGAGAUCGAUGAGUUCCAAAUCCUCUAUAAAUUCCGAGGACUAUGUCAUACUAGAUGAGGUAUAGCUUGAAGGUCUCUCAUAAAUGAAUCUAGUGACAUUAAAGUCACCACAAAUAGUCCAAGGCCCUUCCGACUUCCCCCGAGCAGCAGU